Molecule: transfer RNA, 72 nt
Filed under: Ovis aries (sheep)
Lineage: Eukaryota; Metazoa; Chordata; Mammalia; Artiodactyla; Bovidae
Rfam family: tRNA
About the family: Transfer RNA (tRNA) molecules are approximately 80 nucleotides in length. Their secondary structure includes four short double-helical elements and three loops (D, anti-codon, and T loops).
Source: Rfam by way of RNAcentral
UCCCUGGUGGCUCACAGGGUAAAAUAUCUGCUUGCAAUGCAGGAGACCUGGGUUCAAUCCCUGGUUUGGGAA